Ictalurus furcatus (blue catfish) is the source of this 4608-nucleotide long non-coding RNA. RefSeq lists it as uncharacterized. The record is from RefSeq and is a predicted model, not a curated record. Lineage: Eukaryota; Metazoa; Chordata; Actinopteri; Siluriformes; Ictaluridae. The transcript is spliced from 3 exons.
AAUUGAUAUUUACGCUGAAAUGUGUCAAGGACAUUUACACUGUCAUCUUUCUUUUUCCCCCCCCUUUUCUGGGUCUUGUAUUGUUAAGUUUUCUAUUGUACAGGUGCUUCCCAGAUUUAGCAUAAUUUAAGCGGGUGUAUGUAAUGGAGUGUAAAUAGAAUAAAUUAUUGCAAAAUGGGGACAGCACCAUCUAUGUGCGAGUGAUGGCAUUUAGUGAGUGAAAUAGGGACCGCCCACAACAGCGUUAAUGUGAAACGCUGUGGGUAGGUUGCACGUUCUGAGCGGUCUGGGAAUUAUCAGUUAAAAAGGGUUUAAAACAUAUAAAUAACUGCUUUAUUGUGAAUAUACAUUACAGUGAACAUGUUAUGAAUCUCUUGAAUUUGUAAUUUUGACUUUGUAUUACGAGUCCUGAUAGUAAUUUCUUUGUGUUAUCCUGUGUUUUAUGUAGGAUUGAUUUACUCCCUCUGCUACGAUCUCCGUUUUUUUGUGUCUCCAUUGUGCAGCAUUACUAGCCACACACAGGAAACAGACUGCCCAGGCAAGACAUGCCUUGAUGGAAUUUGAGGUUUCCAGUGCCAGAGGAUGCAAAGCAGCCCCAGAUCAUCAUCGAGCCACCACCAUGCUUGACUGUGGACAGAGUGUUCUUUCUUCAUUCUUCUUUCUCCAGACAUACCGUUGAUCCAAAAAGUGCCAAAAAGUUCCAUCGCUGUUUCAUCGCUCCACAGAAGAGAAUCCCAAAACUCCUGUGGCUUAUUUAUAUGAUUUUGAGCUGACAUUUCUUGUGCUUUUGGGUCAGUAGUGGUGUACAUCUUGGAUUUCUGGCAUGGAAACCUUCUGUGUUUAGUAUGCACCUUACUGUGUUCACUGAAACUUCAGUGCCCGUUGCCACUCUUGCUGCAGGUAUUUUGCAGUCACUCGAGGGUUUUUUACAACAUGACUUCUCAGAAAUCUGGUUGCUGCCGUUUAUAGCCAAUUAAGCUAAUUUCAGUGAAUGAAACUAAUGAAGCCCUUGAUUAGUUGCAUCAGGUGUGCUUGAGACAACACCUGUUUUGCAUAUUUGUGUUGUUGUGGGGGAUACUAUUCAGGGGGUUGAGUAAUUUUGAGACUGGAGAAUUCAUUAUAAGUUGCAUAUUCAGUUGAAUUUGGGGAAACCACUUGGAGCAUUUGUUGUGUUGAACUGUUUCAAUUUUGUUUGAUUUGUUCCUUGCAAACAGCUGAAAGUUUGUUGAAUUCUGGGUUGAAUAAUUUUGAUUGCAACUGUAUUGAGCUAAGUUUCUUGUAAAUAAACUAACAAAUGUAUAUACUUCAAUAAAAAUACUCCUCUAUGUGGAUCAAGUCCACAGACAUCAUGAAGAGGCUUCAAUGCUCCUUAAUGGUCCCAGGAGGGCUAUCCUUGGUGAACAUACCUAAGGGGAGAGGUCAGAUCAUGGGCAAUCCUAAUGAUCCAUAAAAGUGUUUGCUGACCAGAUUAAGGUUACUGAGACCCACCCCUGAAACCAGGCCUGGAGGUGAUGUCCAACGGUUGACAUCUGUAGCAUCUGUAGACCAAGCCACCCAUGUAACAUAGUUGUGCUCAGCCUGAAAAAGCAACCAUCAAAAUUGAACCAUCCUGUGAACAUACAACCUGCAAGAUGAAGGAUGGGGAUCAGGUGUAAUGCCAUUUGAGCCGCAGGAUUAUGAUGGACUUUGGACUAGACCGUUGUAAUGGAAACUGGCUUUGGGAAUGUGGAAGGUCACUUUAUUGGUGGGCAAAUAGCCUGAGUUAGUGUGUGAUAGAAAAUAUGGACUGGAUAAAGUUGGCCUUACAUCCCCACAGAAUUCCUAGAAUGCCUUUGUAUGGUGUAGCAUUAUGAUUUUCCUUCACUGGAACUAAGGGGCCCAAAUGUUUCAGCAUGACAAUGCCCCUGUGCACAAACCAAGUUAGAUAAUGACAUGGUUUGCCAAAAGUGAUCUGUAAGAACUCAAGUGGCCCAAACCUUGACUUUAAUCCCACUGAACACUUUUGGGACAAAUUGGAACAUUGACUGCUGAUCAAGCCUGCUCACUUGAAAUCAGUGCCUGACCUAACUAUUUUUAUGCUGCAUUCAACUAAAACUUAUGAAUUUCCAACCUCUGAUUAGCAAAAACCCAACUAAAUGCCCCCCUCAACUCGGAAUUCCUACAUGUGAACUCAGGAAUUUCUCCUCAAUGCAGAACUCAGCUAGUAACAUUAAAUCAACAUCGCUGCUCACAGCAUCAACAGUAGACAAAGUGGGAGUUUGCUUUAGAUCAAUCAACAUACAGACUUAUUAGCUGGUUAAAUCUAUAACACUGACUAUACAGUUCGCUGUUUGAGGAGGCAAAUAUUCACAGUUAGUGCUAGCAUGUUUCUAACAAAGAUAACCAUGGAGUCAUAUGGCUCCUACUGGGUUAUGUAUAUUUGUUUAGCAAUUUCUGAGAGGUUUAUAGAAUAUUGCUAAUGUUUGAAUUGGGUGUACAUAGAUGGUAGUUUUACUUACAGAAUCUCACUGUUCAUCUCUAUGUUGUGUUUUUCACAUACGCUGAAAUACUGGCAUUAUCUGUAGUUAACAUGGUAGCAAUAAUUUAAGUAUCCUGCACAUGUGUGCAUUGAACUCUUUGCUGCAGUUUAUUCUCAUUGUAUGUAUAUACGAUUGUAUGUAUGUAUGCAUGUAUGUUGGAUUUUUUUUAUUUUUUUUAUUUUGAGGGCCAAAUAAUACAAAAACCAUAUCCAUGUAGAACAGAAAUGCACAUAUUUAACCAUAUGGACCUCCAAACCUUAGCAGCCUCCAAACCUUAGCAUUCUCACUGUCUCACAGGAUUUGGCACACUUUAGUGCACAAGCAUUUCACACUCAACUCAGCAUUAAUCCACUCAUCUGAAAUGUGCUGCAUAAUUCAGGGGAGCUGUAAAAUCCACAUCAGGGGUUUUAGAGCUCCAUGGCCCUCAUACUAACACAUGGCAUCCUGGGGGAGAGACAGGACCUUGUUUGGCCAUCUUCUAAUAACACACUUAGCCAUCUAACACACUGUUUAGUGUUCCUUCAUGUACACACUUGCACAGGAUUUUAUUGCCCUAGUGCUAUUGAAGUCUUGUGUGUGUUUUAUUGCACCCAUAUUUCAUUUUGGCCUACUUUCCCUAAAUUGCCUGUGGGGUUUGGUGAGAGGAGUGGAGCGUGGCUGCUUCUAAAUGAGAUGGGGAAAAAGAGAGUGAGUGACUGAAUGUGUGUGUGUGUGUGUGAGAGAGAGAGAGAGAGAGAGAGAGAGAGAGAGAGAGAGCAUGCUUAAUUGUGGCACUGACUUGUGAAAAAUAGUUGAAUGGACUUUGAGAGAGUGGGAAAGCGGAGAGGGAGUGGAGUGACAGUCUGGCCAUUCUGAGUAAGUGAGGGUCAUUGUGUUGUGUGUGGGAGGGAGAGAAAAACACAAUUCUGGCUAUAAAGGGGAAUCCUGCCUUUUGAGGAGAGUAAAUUGUGGUAUUUUAAAGCUCUGCAGGAGUCUACUAAUUACUCAUAGUCCUCAAGGCCUUUUCAAAACCUUGCUAAGGGCAAUUAAAGGCAACUAGAUGUCUAUGCAAUGCCAUUCUGAGAAUGUUCUAUAGAAAUAUGCAGCUAUUUAAUCUGAGAGACAUACAUGUGUUUUUUUUGGAUUCUACAUAAACAUUCAUUGAAGUCAUUCAUGCAACACGGAAACAUAAUAUUCACAGGUUAAUAUUUGCCAUGCUUGACCUAGGUUUAAUAGUCAAUAAAAAUGGCCCUAUUUCAAAAAAGAUAUGUGGUGAGUAAAAUUUUUCAGUAAAGACUAGAUUGUAGCUUUUCUGUAGAAAUUCUGCUAUUUAUAGUCUAUAGUACAACUAACUUCCAUCUUGGAAAUUGAACAGCAAAUAAAUAAGAAUACUUUAUAGAUUAAAAAAAGAGAAAUUUAUCAUUUAAACACAUUAUAAUUCACUGCUAAAAUGUAAAGCUACAGAUGGAUUUGCAGUUGGUUCCAAGCAAUAGGACACGAUUUAAAGUAAGUUUUUAUGCCAAAUGUCAUGUCACAGCAAACCAGUGACUACAUUUCCCAUCCUGCACUGUGGCCGACAAACAAAUGUGGAACUACACUUCCCACACACACACACACACACACACACACACACACACACACACACACACACACGGCCACCUUCUCCAGAACUCUGAUUGCACACACCUGCACCCAACCUCACACACAAUCACAAACACAGCAUAUAAGAGACUUUGUGAACAUUUAGAUUUUGUGAAGUAUAUGUUCAGCUGCCUAGUCUCUGUCAUUGUCCAACCCUUGUUGUCGUGUUUGCCAUUCUGAGAUUUUACCUCUGUUUACUCUAUUGACUUCGAUUCUCUGCCCUGCUUAGUUUUGCCUAUUUGCCUGAUCACCUGACCUCUGCCUGUUUUUUGACUAUGGAUUUCUGCCUUAUCCUUGGACUUUGUUUUAUUAAAUCUGCCAAACCUGCACUUGCUUCCAUCUCAGCCUCCAUUUCGUGACACCAAAUAAUUGAUAAAUUGAAAAGCUAAUAUGAUUUGGGUGAUUUAGAAGUAUCUAAGAAUCUUUGAAACAGCACAUCAAACAGCUAUCAUGCUAACAUACCAAGAAA